AAGGACGGUGCCAGCCGCCGCGGUAAUACCGGCGCCUCAAGUGGUAGUCUUUUUUAUUGGGCCUAAAACGUCCGUAGCCGGUCUGAUACAUUCGUGGGUAAAUCAACCAGCUCAACUGGUUGAAUUCUGCGAGGACGGCCAGACUUGGGACCGGGAGAGGUGGGGGGUACUCUCAGGGUAGGGGUAAAAUCCUGUCAUCCUGAGCGGACCACCUGUUGCGAAGGCGCCACACUAGAACGGAUCCGACGGUCAGGGACGAAACCUAGGGGCACAAACCGGAUUAAAUACCCGGGUAGUCCUAGGUGUAAACGCUGUGGACUUGAUGUUGGGGGUCCUCCGAGCACUCUCAGUGUCGAAGCGAAGGUGAUAAGUCCCCU
This 377-nucleotide ribosomal RNA is filed under the name uncultured archaeon. Its description in RNAcentral is "bacterial SSU rRNA". It matches the Rfam family "Archaeal small subunit ribosomal RNA", at positions 448 to 825 of the family's 1478-position model. The record is from RNAcentral.